AGCAGCCGCGGUAAUUCCAGCUCCAAUAGCGUAUAUUAAAGUUGUUGUGGUUAAAAAGCUCGUAGUUGAACCUUGGGCCUGGCUGGCCGGUCCGCCUCACCGCGUGUACUGGUCCGGCCGGGCCUUUCCCUCUGUGGAACCCCAUGCCCUUCACUGGGUGUGGCGGGGAAACAGGACUUUUACUUUGAAAAAAUUAGAGUGCUCCAGGCAGGCCUAUGCUCGAAUACAUUAGCAUGGAGUAAUAGAAUAGGACGUGUGGUUCUAUUUUGUUGGUUUCUAGGACCGCCGUAAUGAUUAAUAGGGACGGUCGGGGGCAUCAGUAUUCAAUUGUCAGAGGUGAAAUUCUUGGAUUUAUUGAAGACUAACUACUGCGAAAGCAUUUGCCAAGGAUGUUUUCAUUAAUCAGGAACGAAAGUUAGGGGAUCGAAGACGAUCAGAUACCGUCGUAGUCUUAACCAUAAACUAUGCCGACUAGGGAUCGGACGAUGUUAUUUUUGACUCGUUCGGCACCUUACG
This 516-nucleotide small RNA is filed under the name uncultured Paraglomus. RNAcentral describes it as "SSU rRNA". It matches the Rfam family "Eukaryotic small subunit ribosomal RNA", at positions 569 to 1092 of the family's 1831-position model. Lineage: Eukaryota; Fungi; Glomeromycota; Glomeromycetes; Paraglomerales; Paraglomeraceae. The record is from RNAcentral.